AAGCACUUUCAGUCGUGAGGAAGGUAGUGUAGUUAAUAGCUGCAUUAUUUGACGUUAGCGACAGAAGAAGCACCGGCUAACUCCGUGCCAGCAGCCGCGGUAAUACGGAGGGUGCGAGCGUUAAUCGGAAUUACUGGGCGUAAAGCGCAUGCAGGUGGUUUGUUAAGUCAGAUGUGAAAGCCCGGGGCUCAACCUCGGAAUUGCAUUUGAAACUGGCAGACUAGAGUACUGUAGAGGGGGGUAGAAUUUCAGGUGUAGCGGUGAAAUGCGUAGAGAUCUGAAGGAAUACCGGUGGCGAAGGCGGCCCCCUGGACAGAUACUGACACUCAGAUGCGAAAGCGUGGGGAGCAAACAGGAUUAGAUACCCUGGUAGUCCACGCCGUAAACGAUGUCUACUUGGAGGUUGUGGCCUUGAGCCGUGGCUUUCGGAGCUAACGCGUUAAGUAGACCGCCUGGGGAGUACGGUCGCAAGAUUAAAACUCAAAUGAAUUGACGGGGGCCCGCACAAGCGGUGGAGCAUGUGGUUUAAUUCGAUGCAACGCGAAGAACCUUACCUACUCUUGACAUCCAGAGAACUUUCCAGAGAUGGAUUGGUGCCUUCGGGAACUCUGAGACAGGUGCUGCAUGGCUGUCGUCAGCUCGUGUUGUGAAAUGUUGGGUUAAGUCCCGCAACGAGCGCAACCCUUAUCCUUGUUUGCCAGCGAGUAAUGUCGGGAACUCCAGGGAGACUGCCGGUGAUAAACCGGAGGAAGGUGGGGACGACGUCAAGUCAUCAUGGCCCUUACGAGUAGGGCUACACACGUGCUACAAUGGCGCAUACAGAGGGCGGCCAACUUGCGAAAGUGAGCGAAUCCCAAAAAGUGCGUCGUAGUCCGGAUUGGAGUCUGCAACUCGACUCCAUGAAGUCGGAAUCGCUAGUAAUCGUGGAUCAGAAUGCCACGGUGAAUACGUUCCCGGGCCUUGUACACACCGCCCGUCACACCAUGGGAGUGGGCUGCAAAAGAAGUAGGUAGUUUAACCUUCGGGGGGACGCUUACCACUUUGUGGUUCAUGACUGGGGUGAAGUCGUAACAAGGUAGCGCUAGGGGAACC
Molecule: ribosomal RNA, 1092 nt
Filed under: Vibrio parahaemolyticus
Lineage: Bacteria; Pseudomonadati; Pseudomonadota; Gammaproteobacteria; Vibrionales; Vibrionaceae
Description: bacterial SSU rRNA
Rfam family: Bacterial small subunit ribosomal RNA
Source: RNAcentral